This 585-nucleotide ribosomal RNA is filed under the name uncultured bacterium. Its description in RNAcentral is "bacterial SSU rRNA". It matches the Rfam family "Bacterial small subunit ribosomal RNA", at positions 338 to 916 of the family's 1533-position model. The record is from RNAcentral.
CCUACGGGAGGCAGCAGUGGGGAAUUUUGGACAAUGGGCGCAAGCCUGAUCCAGCAAUGCCGCGUGCAGGAUGAAGGCCUUCGGGUUGUAAACUGCUUUUGUACGGAACGAAACGGCUCUUUCUAAUAAAGAGGGCUAAUGACGGUACCGUAAGAAUAAGCACCGGCUAACUACGUGCCAGCAGCCGCGGUAAUACGUAGGGUGCGAGCGUUAAUCGGAAUUACCGGGCGUAAAGCGUGCGCAGGCGGUUAUAUAAGACAGAUGUGAAAUCCCCGGGCUCAACCUGGGACCUGCAUUUGUGACUGUAUAGCUAGAGUACGGUAGCGGGGGAUGGAAUUCCGCGUGUAGCAGUGAAAUGCGUAGAUAUGCGGAGGAACACCGAUGGCGAAGGCAAUCCCCUGGACCCUGUACUGACGCUCAUGCACGAAAGCGUGGGGAGCAAACAGGAUUAGAUACCCUGGUAGUCCACGCCCUAAACGAUGUCAACUGGUUGUUGGGUCUUCACUGACUCAGUAACGAAGCUAACGCGUGAAGUUGACCGCCUGGGGAGUACGGCCGCAAGGUUGAAACUUAAGGAAUUGACGG